This 135-nucleotide ribosomal RNA is filed under the name Tausonia pullulans. RNAcentral's name for it is "partial large subunit ribosomal RNA". It matches the Rfam family "Eukaryotic large subunit ribosomal RNA", at positions 99 to 229 of the family's 3401-position model. The record is from RNAcentral. Lineage: Eukaryota; Fungi; Basidiomycota; Tremellomycetes; Cystofilobasidiales; Mrakiaceae.
CGGGAUGAGCUCAAAUUUAAAAUCUGGCGGUCUCAGAUCGUCCGAGUUGUAGUCUAGAGAAGCGUUUUCCGUGCUGGCCUGUGUACAAGUCCGUUGGAACACGGCGUCAUAGAGGGUGAGAAUCCCGUCCAUGAC